Molecule: transfer RNA, 62 nt
Filed under: Pachydactylus tsodiloensis
Lineage: Eukaryota; Metazoa; Chordata; Lepidosauria; Squamata; Gekkonidae
Description: tRNA-Cys
Source: RNAcentral
AAGCCCGGGCACCCUUAGGGGUGCUUCUCCGAAUUUGCAUUUCAGCGUUUAUACCUCCGGGC